UUUGCCUGCCCUUGGAUAGAAUAUUUGGAUGAAUUUUGGGGUCACCUCAGAUCUGGCACAUUUCAGAAGUUGCUGACGUGUUGAUGCCUGCUAAAACACAACGUGGGAAGAAGAAUGAAUGUGGGCAAGCUCGGCUAGCCACUCAGAGGGAAAUGAUCUCAUUUCUCCUGCUGGGCAACCCCCAGUUGCUGCUACUCAGUCCUUCUUGAAGUCCAUUUUCGUAAACACUUUGCUGAUCAAGAAGUGUCUGAAGAUGGGAAGACGGAGAAAGCUUGUAUUGUUUACUGAGUAUCAGAGGACACUUCCUUCAAGUGACCUAAGGCAUGUGUGAGUGCUAUCCUACGAGCCACAUUCUAAAGGAGUGAAGUCAUCACGAACACUGCCUUAGAAGAGUGAGUUAGUGCCAAAGACUAUCCUCAACAGCAUUUACAGACUCACUUUUCUAAAAAUCCAGAGAUUUUUUUUAACAUAUAAAUCAAGAAUGAACAAGGCAAAUGUUCAGCAAUUCACUUCCAUGCAUUACUCCCCUUCUCCUUGGAACUCAAUUUCUUAGCCAGGUUGCUUUUUGGGGCUAAAAGAAAGGAAAACAGAGAUGGAGACAGACAGGGCCAAGAAGCCAAUAAAGAGAUGAGCUGCACAAAGCUAUAAUAAUCAGUAAACCUAAGCAGGAAAAAGCUGAGAGGAAGGAAAGUUACUUAAAAUCAGAGAAUGCGGGGAGGGAGAAAAAUUGCUUAAAAUUAGUUUACAGAAAAAGAAAAUUAAUCUCCAUUUUACUGUUGAAUGACCUUUAGUCUGGAAUUAGAAUUCUAUAAAGUCUAAACAAAGAGCCACAUUUAAUUCCCUGGGAAACUCCAAUUUUAACUUGGCUUUAAUAAUAAAAAUUUUUGUGUGCAAAUUCCGAAAGCAGCACACACAAAGAAAUUAAAGAAUACAAAAACCUGUCCUAGGUAAUCAUGGAAAUCUUACGUAAAGAGAAAAUGAAAAUCUUUUCAUGCAAUUGCACUUUACUCGAAAAUUCUACUAAUCCUGACCUUUCAGGUUUUGUGAAGUGCCAAAUGCAAAUUAAAUGAAAAUGAAAUCACAAUACAUUGGAUUUUAGAGAAAGGAAAUGGCUAAUCAUGAAUGCUUUUUUUUUUGGCAAGAACUGUUCAGGUGAAUAUUAUGCUUAGUAAUUGUUCAGGCAAGAAAGUGGGUAGAAAUAAGCUUUCUCUCCUACCAUGAGGCUGGAUGCAUGCUUUGUUCUCUGAGGGAAAGAUCUCUACACAUUGAAUAAAGGCGAAGUACUUACACUGGACUUUAGCGAGAGUCUGACCCACAGAAUUCCUUUCCUUUGUGGGAAAUAGGGGCAAUUCUCAGCAUGGGAAGUACACACACACACACACACACACACACACACACAUACACACACACACACACACACACACACACACAGACACAUCGCGCCCACUCUUUCCUUGCCUGCGCCUUUUGUCUCCAAACCUAAGGGACCACACACCAUCUCCAUUUUAUAGGCCCCUGUUUGACACUCUUAGGCAUUUCAAAUUUAUCCUGCCCAAGCCUAUAUUUAACAUUCUAGAUUAAAAUCAGAGAAUGUUAAAGCUGAAAGUUACCUUAUAUACACAUAGGUCGGCCAGUCAGUCAGCUCUUGCAAUAUUAAGGCCAUUUAAAUAAUUUAAUUGGCAAAUUAAAUUUCCUUGCUUUUUUCGGAAAAAAAAUAUAUUAUGUAAAGUUAGGUUAGCCUCUACAAAAGUAUUUGUGCUUUAGCUGUAAUCUGGCCAAUGAUUUUAGUGAUCAUUUAUGAAAAUAUAUCAUUCAUUCUAAGUCCUGUUAGGCAUUUAGAGGUGAAUUGAAAAUACUUAUUUCUGAAUUUGUUCCUCCUCUAUUUCUUAGGAUCACCUCUACCUCCCAUGCACAUUAACCUGGGAAAGAGACAGAAAAAAUCAGAAAAAAAAGAUGUUAGGAGAAGCUGAACAGACUGAAAUUCUCCAGAAUGAGAGUGAAAGGAGCUGAAAUGCCUUUGAAAUAUUAUUUCUCAGCAAACAAAAAUCACAGAAUAGAUGCUGCAGACUUGAAAAUGGAUAAACACUGUUUGUGCCUACAUCUUUAUCUCUUUGCAAUCACCUCAAGAUUGAAUUGUACUGUACACUAUGGAUGUCUAGUUGUGCUUCAGUUAUAGUACAUUUCCUUUGAUGCCAACUUCCCUAAUGUCAGGAUUUUUCCCAGAUUAAGAGUGAGAACUGGGAUUGAGCCAAACAACAACACAGAAUCCAUAAUCUUCAAUACAGUUCAAGGUUGUUUCUAGGGAUUAAAGAGUAGAAAAACACACCAAUGCAAUAUAGGGCAAAACAAAAUAUAGUGAUAUCUCACCCUAUCACCUAGCACACAGUCAUAUACAGAAAGGCUUAUAAUUUAUCUUGGUAGUAAAAAAUGUGUUACCUUAAGCCCUCUAUAGUUAGAUGAUUGCGUGAAAGGUAAAAAAGCAGAUUAGAAGGGAUGCAUCCAGGCAUAAAAAAGGAAUGCUGAUAGUAGAAGAGGAAAAUGUGAAAUACCCAGGGUCCAAGCUUAGUACACUAUGGUUAAUUAGUGGUGAGGAGCAAGAGCUAGUUAGUCCACAGGAGUCUCAGGGAUAGUGAGACCCCCAUCUCUAUAACAAAAAAAAAUGCCUGGUGUGGUAUCAUGUGCGCCUGUAGUCCCAGCUACUCAAGAGGCUGAGGUGGGAGGAUGGCUUGAGCCCAGGAGGUUGAGGCUGCAGUGAGCCAUGAUGAGCACACUACUUCACUC
Molecule: long non-coding RNA, 2781 nt
Filed under: Homo sapiens (human)
Lineage: Eukaryota; Metazoa; Chordata; Mammalia; Primates; Hominidae
Description: HSALNT0285517
Source: RNAcentral